Non-coding RNA from Hypoxylon sp. CI-4A, 102 nucleotides. NCBI's taxonomy places the organism in Eukaryota, Fungi, Ascomycota, Sordariomycetes, Xylariales, Hypoxylaceae. The record is from the annotation of a GenBank genome assembly.
GGCAACGUGCCAGAGUGGUUAAUGGGUUAGACUCGAAUCAUGGCUAUCCUAGCAUGUCAUCUAAUAACUUCGGUUGCACAGGUUCGAAUCCUGUCGUUGUCG